Long non-coding RNA from Daucus carota subsp. sativus, 927 nucleotides. RefSeq lists it as uncharacterized. Lineage: Eukaryota; Viridiplantae; Streptophyta; Magnoliopsida; Apiales; Apiaceae. The transcript is spliced from 4 exons. The record is from RefSeq and is a predicted model, not a curated record.
UAUACAUCAAAUCCAUAAUCUAGAGACUCGAGCUCGAUCUCUUCUCCGUCUCGGCUUGAUUUCUUCUUCGUCUUGAUCUCUGUCUAGGAUCUUCAUCUCAUCUUCACUCUGUAAUUGCAAUUAAGGUGGAAUUUUGAUUUUUCAUCACGUCUUAUUCUUCAAAUCAAGCUUUGUUGCCUACUUCCAGAGUCAAUGUUAAUGAUAUCACUAAAUACACAUCAGGUUUUAAGUCUACACAGGAGAUGGGAAGUUUAUAGAGGGAAUAGAACAGACUCUCACAACAUACUCUUCAUUGUAAAGAAGUCAGACAUCCUUCAACUUAAAACUGAAUUGGAAGUCUUCUUGGCAUCUAACACCUUUGAACGUCACUAUGAUUUCAAAAUCAAAGGCAGCUGGUUCGAGAAAGCAUGUACCAUCUAUGCCGGGAAUUCUUCUAAUGUGUCAUAGCCCAGAGGCCAAAGCUUGGGAGAUCCUGAUGCGUCUUUUUGUGUGGAAGCUUUGGAAAACCUAAUGUGCCCAUCAGAUAGAAUUAUCACCAGCUGCCAUUAUGUAUGCAACUGCUAUUAUGUCCGCCAUCUUUGAAGAGAACAAGGACGAGGACGGCUUUCUCUAUAUGACGUACAAUGGUGAGAAUACAUUGGGAUCCGACUGAAAGGCUCCUCCAAGCUGAAGCUGUGUAGAUAUAUGACCUGUCAGCGGUGGUAAAUAUGUACAUUUGCCUUCAUUGUUACCCUCAUAGUGAUUCUGGAAGAAAUUAAUGAAUAUCGCAAAGAUGAUGACUAAAUGAAGGCUGCCAACUAAGUUAGCAUGUUUAACUAUUCAUAUAUAAGAAGUUCAGACAAAUGAAGAAAUCAAAUUGUAUUUGUGGAAUAUUGUAAUUUGUAUCCAUGACAACAAAGUAAUGCAAAUUUUACCAUUUUUUAUUUA